GAGUUUGAUCAUGGCUCAGGACGAACGCUGGCGGCGUGCUUAACACAUGCAAGUCGAGCGGAAAGGCCACUUCGGUGGUACUCGAGCGGCGAACGGGUGAGUAACACGUGAGUAAUCUGCCCCCCACUUUGGGAUAGCCACCGGAAACGGUGAUUAAUACCGGAUAUGACGUGCCCUCGCAUGGGGGUGUGUGGAAAGUUUUUCGGUGGGGGAUGUGCUCGCGGCCUAUCAGCUUGAUGGUGGGGUAAUGGCCUACCAUGGCUUCGACGGGUAGCCGGCCUGAGAGGGUGACCGGCCACACUGGGACUGAGACACGGCCCAGACUCCUACGGGAGGCAGCAGUGGGGAAUAUUGGACAAUGGGCGGAAGCCUGAUCCAGCAACGCCGCGUGAGGGAUGACGGCCUUCGGGUUGUAAACCUCUUUCAGUACCGACGAAGCGAAAGUGACG
RNAcentral lists this ribosomal RNA (449 nucleotides) under rhizosphere soil bacterium RSI-26. RNAcentral describes it as "bacterial SSU rRNA". It matches the Rfam family "Bacterial small subunit ribosomal RNA", at positions 9 to 474 of the family's 1533-position model. The record is from RNAcentral.